Non-coding RNA from Maylandia zebra (zebra mbuna), 270 nucleotides. The record is from RefSeq and is a predicted model, not a curated record. NCBI's taxonomy places the organism in Eukaryota, Metazoa, Chordata, Actinopteri, Cichliformes, Cichlidae.
ACAGUACCGAUUACAUGUUCUUCAGGGAAGAUGUGUGUUACAGCUACUAUUUUAGCUACCUCAUCUGGAAAUACAACAACAGAAAUCUACAAGGCAUGUGCAUCUUCCUCCCUGUGUCCAGCUACGGGCUCUCAGACAUUUUCAGUCGACCUGGGUGUUCAAAGUGCUCUUGCAUCUGCCACGUGCUGCAACACAGAUAACUGCAACUCACAAACUCUGGCUGCUCCUACUCCUCAGUCAAGUAACGGCCAGCUAUGUAACAUUUGUUCC